This is a long non-coding RNA of Notothenia coriiceps (black rockcod), 490 nucleotides long. RefSeq lists it as uncharacterized. Lineage: Eukaryota; Metazoa; Chordata; Actinopteri; Perciformes; Nototheniidae. The record is from RefSeq and is a predicted model, not a curated record. The transcript has 3 exons.
CAAAUUCAAGCUAACGGUGGAUGGCAAGAUCGGCAGAAUUUGCAGCGACGCCUGCUUCAUCAACUACCAAAAAGUAAACAACCUGCAACUGUACACCUGUGGUGUCUGCAGCUCCAUCAGCACCGACAAACAGUUCCUGCUGAAGGAGAAGGACGGCAGUAAGAGCAUCUGCAGUGAGGAAUGUCUGGUCGAGUUCAAACGGAAAAUUGAAACGCCUGAGCUUUGCCCCAUGUGCCGGACGUCCCAUCAGUUAUCGGACAUGGUGGAAAAUAAAAACGACGAGGGCUGGUUGGACUUCUUCUGUAGCAACAGAUGUAUGAUGGUACACAGAUCUCAGUCUUCAAAUGGCUCAGGAAGGAACUGCCCAUCUCCAGAAGAUUAUGACAUCAAAGAAGUGAAGCCAUCACUUGAAGAUGAAGAAAUGAAAAAAGUGAAGAUUUUGCAAGAAGAGAUAGAAAUUACAGAAAUGAAGCCAUCGCUACAAAAUUUG